AUGAAGAACGUAGCGAAAUGCGAUAAGUAAUGUGAAUUGCAGAAUUCAGUGAAUCAUCGAAUCUUUGAACGCACCUUGCACCCUUUGGCAUUCCGAAGGGUAUGCUCGUUUGAGUGUCAUUGUACUCUCACACUCUCCGAUCCUAUGGAUUCGGGGAGCGGUGGACUUGGGUGUUGCUGCCUUUCCCUGUGGCUCACCUCAAAUGCGUCAGUGCACCUCUUGGUUGGACAUAGUACGGCGUGAUAAGUGUCUUCGCCGGCACCUCGCAAGAGGGUGGCCGAUCGGGAGCUCUGCGCUUUCAAACCGUCUUCGGACAAUUUCUGACAUCUUGACCUCAAAUCGAGUAGGACUACCCGCUGAACUUAAGCAUAUCAUAAGCGGAGGA
RNAcentral lists this unclassified non-coding RNA (385 nucleotides) under soil metagenome. RNAcentral describes it as "partial contains 5.8S ribosomal RNA, internal transcribed spacer 2, and large subunit ribosomal RNA". The stretch from base 1 to 119 matches the Rfam family "5.8S ribosomal RNA", at positions 36 to 154 of the family's 154-position model. The record is from RNAcentral.